UACGGGGGGGGCAAGCGUUGUUCGGAAUUACUGGGCGUAAAGGGCUUGUAGGCGGCCAACUAAGUCAGACGUGAAAUCCCUCGGCUUAACCGGGGAACUGCGUCUGAUACUGGAUGGCUUGAGAUUGGGAGAGGGAUGCGGAAUUCCAGGUGUAGCGGUGAAAUGCGUAGAUAUCUGGAGGAACACCGGUGGCGAAGGCGGCAUCCUGGACCAACACUGACGCUGAGGAGCGAAAGCCAGGGGAGCAAACGGG
Molecule: ribosomal RNA, 253 nt
Filed under: uncultured bacterium
Lineage: Bacteria
Description: partial 16S ribosomal RNA
Rfam family: Bacterial small subunit ribosomal RNA
Source: RNAcentral